Molecule: long non-coding RNA, 1005 nt
Filed under: Marmota monax (woodchuck)
Lineage: Eukaryota; Metazoa; Chordata; Mammalia; Rodentia; Sciuridae
Source: RNAcentral
CUCCUCCAAAACACAUUCUGUAACUAACAAGGAACACAGAAACAGCAUGGAGAAGAAUAAAGAGAAAAACUUAAAAUUUUCAAUAUGCAAAAACGCCUGUUUUGAUGGGUGAUGUGGUGAACACUGAGUUCACUUAAAAGCAUUAUAUUGGUUGGGCAGUGAAUAUCUUUGUUACAGGAAAUAAUAUGUUUUGUCUUCCUGGCCUAUUCAAGGAGGGAUCAGCAAGUAUUGGGGGCGUGGAAGAAAUGUACUCAUAGACCCUUUUGCCUGAAUCUGACUCAAAUUUUCCAGUGAAGCAGAAAGGAGGAAAUACCACAUCCCCAGGUGUGCCUAGCCUUUGACGAUUAUUGUGAGUCCCCAAGAGUUACCCUAGUCCCUUCCCCAAUACGCAUUCCAGCUUGUAGCUUGACUAAAGACGUUUUGUACAUGUCUAGGCACAUCUGAAGACAGUGGAAGGAGACACGAUGAGUCGAGAAGAGGUGGAAGAGGAGGCAACCAGGAUUCAGGUAAAAGGAGACUUGGAGAUGAAGAAGGAGGAGGAGAUCUGUGAGGCCGGAGAGCUUGGUCCGUUUGUGAGUACUGUGCCCACCCUGAUACCCCACAACAAGGGGAUCCGGAUUUCUGAAGCAUGGGAGUAUUUCCACCUGGCCCCUGCUUGUGCUGCUCACCAUCCCAACCAGUAUGCCACCUGCCGCCUGUGUGGCAGGCAGGUGAGCUGUGGUCCUGGGGUUAAUGUGGGCACCACCGCUCUUUGGAAGCAUCUGAAAAGCAUGCACAGGGAGGAGCUGGAGAAGAGUGGCCACUGCCAGGCGGGGCAGCGCCAGGACCCAGGGCCCCCAGGGCCCCAGCUCCCCGUGUGCAUCGAGGGAGACUGGGGCAGGUUCCUGGAGCAGGCCAGCGCCCUGGCUUUGUGGGCCAGCCAGAGGGAAAAGGAGGUGCUUAGGAGGGAGAGGGCUGUGGAGAGACGUGAGCACGCCUUGGAGGAGGUGGAAAGGGCGAUCCUGG